RNAcentral lists this long non-coding RNA (282 nucleotides) under Nicotiana benthamiana. RNAcentral's name for it is "long non-coding RNA (NBEN_LNC001849)". Lineage: Eukaryota; Viridiplantae; Streptophyta; Magnoliopsida; Solanales; Solanaceae. The record is from RNAcentral.
GGGGUGAAGGAGAUGGCGGGGGUGGUGAGUUAUAAUAAUAAACUAGUGGUGGAGGGGAUGGUGAUGGUGGGGGCAGUGCCGGUGGCGGAGGUGAUGGCGAUGGUGGGGGUGGAGAAUUAUAGUCAUAAACUGGUGGCGGAGGUGAUGGUGAAGGCGGCGGUGGGGGAGGAGAGUUAUCGUAAUAAACAGGUGGCGAAGGUGACGGAGAAGGUGGUAGAGGUGGUUCUAUACAAGGAGGCGGUGGGGGUGGGGGUUCUAUACAAGGAACCGGGGAUGGAGGAA